CCUACGGGAGGCUGCAGUGGGGAAUAUUGGACAAUGGGGGCAACCCUGAUCCAGCCAUGCCGCGUGUGUGAAGAAGGCCCUCGGGUUGUAAAGCACUUUCAGUGAGGAAGAAUGCCUGGUGGUUAAUACCCAUCAGGAAAGACAUCACUCACAGAAGAAGCACCGGCUAACUCCGUGCCAGCAGCCGCGGUAAUACGGAGGGUGCGAGCGUUAAUCGGAAUUACUGGGCGUAAAGCGCGCGUAGGUGGCUUGAUAAGCCGGUUGUGAAAGCCCCGGGCUCAACCUGGGAACGGCAUCCGGAACUGUCAAGCUAGAGUGCAGGAGAGGAAGGUAGAAUUCCCGGUGUAGCGGUGAAAUGCGUAGAGAUCGGGAGGAAUACCAGUGGCGAAGGCGGCCUUCUGGACUGACACUGACACUGAGGUGCGAAAGCGUGGGUAGCAAACAGGAUUAGAUACCCCUGUAGUC
Molecule: ribosomal RNA, 465 nt
Filed under: Vreelandella stevensii
Lineage: Bacteria; Pseudomonadati; Pseudomonadota; Gammaproteobacteria; Oceanospirillales; Halomonadaceae
Description: partial 16S ribosomal RNA
Rfam family: Bacterial small subunit ribosomal RNA
Source: RNAcentral